This 468-nucleotide ribosomal RNA is filed under the name uncultured bacterium. RNAcentral's name for it is "partial 16S ribosomal RNA". It matches the Rfam family "Bacterial small subunit ribosomal RNA", at positions 28 to 507 of the family's 1533-position model. The record is from RNAcentral.
GACGAACGCUGGCGGCGUGCUUAACACAUGCAAGUCGAACGGAAAGGCCCUGCUUUUGCGGGGUGCUCGAGUGGCGAACGGGUGAGUAACACGUGAGUAACCUGCCCUUGACUUUGGGAUAACUUCAGGAAACUGGGGCUAACACCGGAUAGGAGCUCCUGCUGCAUGGUGGGGGUUGGAAAGCUUCGGCGGUAGGGGAUAGACUCGGGGCUUAUCAGCUUGUGGGUGGAGUAGUGGCUUACCAAGGCUUUGACGGGUAGCCGGCCUGGGAGGGGGGCCGCCCACAUUGGGACUAAGAGACGGCCCAGACUCCAACGGGAGGCAACGGUGGAGAAUAUUGCACAGUCAGCGGACGCCUGAUACGACGACGCCGCGUGCGGAAUGACGGCCUUCUGGUUGUGAACCGCUUUCGCCUAUGACGAAGCGUGAGUGACGGUAAUGGGUGAAGAAGCACCGGCUAACUACGUG